CGGUGCAAAGUUAAAUUCGUAUUUUACACUUCUCUUAUAUUACACAACAUGCCAGGGGGUGUGGCAAUAAGCAACCUAAGGAGGGGAUCUGGCGUGUUGUCUAAAAUCGCUAUCCUACACAACCUAAAACGCAUUGCACCAAUGACCAAGAGAAACCUGGUCAGAAGUUCAUGGCGAGUUAGAAUGGUGGAAAGUAAC
This is a long non-coding RNA of Alosa sapidissima (American shad), 198 nucleotides long. RefSeq lists it as uncharacterized. The transcript is spliced from 3 exons. The record is from RefSeq and is a predicted model, not a curated record. Lineage: Eukaryota; Metazoa; Chordata; Actinopteri; Clupeiformes; Clupeidae.